GAUUAAAAAAAAAUAAGAAGGGAGAAGAGAAGAUCCAGGAUAGAAAACUGUGGAACACCCAUGUUUAUCAGGUUCCAAGAUCCAUACUUACCAAUCUGUUACUGUGCUCAACUCAGGCUAUUAUAUUGUGAAGUCAUAGGAAACAGCUAGUGGUGAAUUAAGGAACCUGCGGGUGGCUGCUUGUCCCA
Molecule: long non-coding RNA, 188 nt
Filed under: Monodelphis domestica (gray short-tailed opossum)
Lineage: Eukaryota; Metazoa; Chordata; Mammalia; Didelphimorphia; Didelphidae
Description: lncRNA (ENSMODG00000048758.1)
Source: RNAcentral